GGAACAUGGGUGACCUUUGGAGGCCAGAUCACCGAUGAGAUGGCAGAGCAGCUGAUGACCCUGGCUUAUGACAAUGGAAUCAACCUGUUUGAUACAGCCGAAGUCUAUGCUGCUGGAAAAGCCGAAGUCGUACUGGGAAAUAUCAUUAAGAGGAAGGGAUGGAGG
Molecule: long non-coding RNA, 165 nt
Organism: Vombatus ursinus (common wombat)
Lineage: Eukaryota; Metazoa; Chordata; Mammalia; Diprotodontia; Vombatidae
Exons: 3
Source: RefSeq, a predicted model, not a curated record